GAAAGGUUUUGUUGGAGAAGGAACAGCCUAAGGGUCCUACAGAUUCUGUUUCCUAGACCAAUGGAUUGGUACACAAACCCCAGGAGGACUUUUUGCCUAAUCACCCACCACUGAAUUCUAUUUUGAUCU
This 129-nucleotide long non-coding RNA is filed under the name Fukomys damarensis (Damara mole-rat). Its description in RNAcentral is "lncRNA (ENSFDAG00000028486.1)". The record is from RNAcentral. Lineage: Eukaryota; Metazoa; Chordata; Mammalia; Rodentia; Bathyergidae.